GACGAACGCUGGCGGCGUGCUUAACACAUGCAAGUCGAACGGGCUUGGUUCUUCGGAGUCAAGUUAGUGGCGAACGGGUGAGUAACACGUGGGUGACCUGCCUCGUACUUUGGGAUAAGCCUGGGAAACUGGGUCUAACACCGGAUAGGACCGCAUGCUGCAUGGUGUGUGGUGGAAAGCUUUGGCGGUACGGGAUGGGCCCGCGGCCUAUCAGCUUGUUGGUGCGGUAGUGGCGUACCAAGGCGACGACGGGUAGCCGGCCUGAGAGGGCGACCGGCCACACUGGGACUGAGACACGGCCCAGACUCCUACGGGAGGCAGCAGUGGGGAAUAUUGCACAAUGGGCGCAAGCCUGAUGCAGCGACGCCGCGUGAGGGAUGACGCCU
Molecule: ribosomal RNA, 386 nt
Filed under: uncultured bacterium
Lineage: Bacteria
Description: bacterial SSU rRNA
Rfam family: Bacterial small subunit ribosomal RNA
Source: RNAcentral